RNAcentral lists this ribosomal RNA (426 nucleotides) under uncultured bacterium. Its description in RNAcentral is "partial 16S ribosomal RNA". It matches the Rfam family "Bacterial small subunit ribosomal RNA", at positions 354 to 796 of the family's 1533-position model. The record is from RNAcentral.
GUGAGGAAUUUUCCGCAAUGGGCGAAAGCCUGACGGAGCAAUGCCGCGGGAAGGAUGAAGGCCUAUGGGUUGUAAACUUCUUUUCUCAGAAAAGAAUUAUGACGGUAUCUGAGGAAUAAGCAUCGGCUAACUCUGUGCCAGCAGCCGCGGUAAGACAGAGGAUGCAAGCGUUAUCCGGAUUGAUUGGGCGUAACGCGUCUGUAGGUUGUUUAAAAAGUAUUCUGUCAAAGAUUAGGGCUUAACCCUAGAUAGGCAGAAUAAACUUUUAAGCUAGAGUUUGGUAGAGGUAGAGGGACUGCCCGGUGGAGCAGUGAAAUGCGUAGAUAUCGAGAGGAACACCAAAGGCGAAGGCACUCUGCUGGGCCAAUACUAACACUGAGAGACGAAAGCGAGGGGAGCAAAUGGGAGUAGAUACCCCAGUAGUCC